Molecule: transfer RNA, 73 nt
Filed under: Sphingomonas parva (ex Maeng et al. 2020)
Lineage: Bacteria; Pseudomonadati; Pseudomonadota; Alphaproteobacteria; Sphingomonadales; Sphingomonadaceae
Description: Sphingomonas sp. 17J27-24 tRNA-Trp
Source: RNAcentral
GCCGGUGAGCGCGCGGGUGCGGCCUGGAUUCCAACACCAAGGUCCGCUGGUUCGACUCCAGCCACCGGUGCCA